UUCAAUUUCGUUCGCCACAGCGAUGCAUUUCUUGAUUGAAAACUCAUCUACAUCAGCCUUGGCUCUCUCCCUUGCUGCAGCUUCCUCUCCAUCUUGCUUGGUCUUCAUGGCAAUAUAGCUCUCCAUCAUCCCUGCAACAUCAGCUUUCUUGCGUUUCUUUGGCUCCUUCUCCACUCGCUUCCCAACAGUACCUUGAACCUCC
RNAcentral lists this long non-coding RNA (202 nucleotides) under Hordeum vulgare. RNAcentral describes it as "long non-coding RNA (HVUL_LNC018413)". Lineage: Eukaryota; Viridiplantae; Streptophyta; Magnoliopsida; Poales; Poaceae. The record is from RNAcentral.